Zea mays is the source of this 1244-nucleotide long non-coding RNA. RefSeq lists it as uncharacterized. The transcript is spliced from 2 exons. NCBI's taxonomy places the organism in Eukaryota, Viridiplantae, Streptophyta, Magnoliopsida, Poales, Poaceae. The record is from RefSeq and is a predicted model, not a curated record.
UCUCACCCAAACUCUAAUUCUAGCACCAGUAUUUCUUAAGAAAGAAAGAAGAAAUAUCCUAUUUUUCUAAUAGCCCUCGACCUUGGAAAACUCUUGAAGACACGCUCAACCUUAUGUCCUUGCCCAGUUUCUGGACGCAUGCGAGGGACCAAAUUCUUUUCUUCUACGCAUGCCAGAGACCAAAUUCUUUUCUUCUACGCGAGCAUAAGCCUCUUCUUUGUAUUGUCCCGCCGCCCUCCAUCAGGAUAUUUUCUCAGGCCCUUGUCUGUAUAUAACGCUCAUCGGCCUGAUCCAUUUUCUGAAAAAAAUCUCAUUCUCUUUCUUAUCCAUCCAUCGCUCAGCAGGAGCUUAUUUCUUACACGUCUCCAGCGUUCACUCAGGCGUCUUAGCAUUCUUUUCUCUGCUCCUCUCGGCACUCGUCUCAGCACUUCUUCCUCAGGCCGCAACCCUUCUCUGCCAUUUGUGCUUGGCUCCCAGAAGCUGCCGAGCUAGACUCCUCGUCGUGCGCUGUUGUGCUGCUCCAUGUCCGACCGUUCGUCUCUAGCUCGCCAUGGCUGCUCCAGAUCCUGCUCGCGAGUUUCCCAGCGCCGUCAGCUUGCCGGCAUCCAGCUCGCCUGUAUCAUGGCCGUCGCGCCGUCUUUACUCGUUGGCCGUGCGUUGCCGCGCACACGCGCCCGACACCCCGGUUCCUCUGUACGCCUUGGUUGCGCGCGCCGAACUGCGUCCUUCGCAGCUCGCUGGCUUUAGCUGCAGGACACCACCAGCCGUGCCUUCGUAUCCUGUGUCCUCGACUCGUCCACAGUGUCACUCGCGAGGUGCUCGAGGUAAUGGCAGAAUUGAAAAUCGUAGCUGUGCUCAUGGCCUUCAAGACAUAUUAAGUUAUUGGUACGAUAAUUGAUCGUGUGAUGCGGAAGACGAGCCAAGUCGACCCCAAGCGCGGACUACUCCGCAUGGAGAUGCUGAUAAACGAACCUACCUGAUCAAGUGCUAGGACAAGGAUGAUCGUCAAGUGGACGUCACCUAACAACACUAACGUAGUGUUUAUUCCAGGCAAGCCCCGGUGCAUGCAACCCCUUCCUUGUGUUUUUAAAUAAUUUUUGCACACUUUAAGUCUAGUGAAAUGUGCAUUAGGUUUAUAGGAGUUGCUUGGAAACCCUUUGAUGCAUUGCCUUCCUUGAAAUCCAUACCUUUAUAGAUACUUCUGGUGAAGUAUCAAAAUAUGAUUUACAAAAAUGCUUAGCCCU